RNAcentral lists this ribosomal RNA (485 nucleotides) under uncultured bacterium. RNAcentral describes it as "partial 16S ribosomal RNA". It matches the Rfam family "Bacterial small subunit ribosomal RNA", at positions 28 to 523 of the family's 1533-position model. The record is from RNAcentral.
GACGAACGCUGGCUGCGUGCUUAACACAUGCAAGUCGAACGCUGAAGCCAGAAGCUUGCUUCUGGUGGAUGAGUGGCGAACGGGUGAGUAACACGUGAGUAACCUGCCCCUGAUUUCGUGAUAAGCCUGGGAAACUGGGUCUAAUACCGGAUACGACCACCGAACGCUUGUUCGGUGGUGGAAAGUUCUUCGAUCAGGGAUGGGCUCGCGGCCUAUCAGCUUGUUGGUGGGGUAAUGGCCUACCAAGGCGACGACGGGUAGCCGGCCUGAGAGGGCGACCGGCCACACUGGGACUGAGACACGGCCCAGACUCCUACGGGAGGCAGCAGUGGGGAAUAUUGCACAAUGGGGGAAACCCUGAUGCAGCGACGCAGCGUGCGGGAUGACGGCCUUCGGGUUGUAAACCGCUUUCAGCAGGGAAGAAGCGAAAGUGACGGUACCUGCAGAAGAAGUACCGGCUAACUACGUGCCAGCCGCCGCCGUAA